GACUCAGGCCGGAUCAGCCUGAAGGCGCCCGAUCUGGUCUGAUCUCGGAAGCUAAGCAGGGUCGGGCCUGGGUUAGUAUCUUGGAUGGGGAGACCACCGUGGGAAUCCCGGGUGCUCGAGGCU
This 123-nucleotide ribosomal RNA is filed under the name Bison bison bison. Lineage: Eukaryota; Metazoa; Chordata; Mammalia; Artiodactyla; Bovidae. The record is from RNAcentral.